This is a long non-coding RNA of Felis catus (domestic cat), 1700 nucleotides long. RefSeq lists it as uncharacterized. NCBI's taxonomy places the organism in Eukaryota, Metazoa, Chordata, Mammalia, Carnivora, Felidae. The transcript is spliced from 5 exons. The record is from RefSeq and is a predicted model, not a curated record.
GCGCCCCCUCCCUACCCCUUCCCACGCGCGCCUCCUGGGGGUGCCCCCUUCCCAAGCCCCGGGCCCCUCCCGCCAACGGUCACCGGGGGUCCUGGCAGAGUCAGGGGGCCGGGGGAAACCGAGAGGGGUCUGCGAGGAGACGGGACCUGUGAGACAGGCGGGACCCGGUGGUGGCACCCCAACAAGCAGAAAGAGGGGAAGGGAGAUGAGGCAAAACUUAGGAAGGCUGCUCAGGAAGAACAGGGUGGGGUUUUAAGAGAGGGGAGCCUGCAGUACAGGAAGUCCCUCUACCCUCGAGGAAGCAGCAGCAGAAAUGGGCGCUGGAAGGCUCCAGGGCCCCUGGAGCAGGACUCAGAAGGGAAUUCCAGGGCAGAGGCUGCAGGGGCAGUCUGGAACAGGAAGGGGGCUGGGGCCGCGGAGCCCGCAAACGCAGAAUGGGCCACGCCUAGGGUGAAAGGGACAGGUGGGGAGCAGUGCGGUUUUUCUUCUCGCCCUCACUGCUCCCAGUCCCGGGGCUGACUUCCCCCGUCCUUUCUGCAACUCCACCACCCGCCGUCACCUCUUAGGGCCUUGAGGGUGUGCAGGCGUCUUCAAACCUCCAGUGGCUAUUCUGGGCCUGCCCAGAUUGGGUAUUCCCCGGAGACCUGGGAGUCCUGGAACCUGCUCUCCAGUCACUGGAGCUUCGGCCCCACCCUGGGUCUGGACUGCAGCCACUGGUGCUGCCUCCGGGCUGAGAGGGAAGUGGCUGAGAGCUCACGGGCACCCCCUCGGCCCCCGAGAGGGAGCCCACAGCUGUCGGGGGAGCCGCCACCGCUGCCGCCGCCGCCGCCGCUGCAGCUGCCGCCGCCGCCGCCGCCAUAGGACAGACCUCACCGGUACCUGCACAGCGAGAAACACCAGGAGAUCACAGUACAAUCUGAAAGGCAAGAGCCUCGCCCCCUGCCCCAGACUCAUUCCCAGACUCCCUCCCCUGGGACACAGCCGUUGCUCACUUCCUGUUUGGUCCCCAGAGGCCUCCGCCUGCAUCCUUACCCAGUUGUCCUGAAGGGCCUUCCCUGUCCCCAGAAGUCUCCCUAACUUCAGUGAUGGAUGGGCAUCCCUGGCCUUCCUGAGAUCCCCUAUUGGGCCCUUUGAGCCCCCUCGUCCCACACAACCCAUCCCACCCCCCCCAGCCAUGCCCCACGCCUUGCCUGGUGGGUGCGGGGGUCCCCCUCAGCAGGUGGGCUGUGGCUGGGGGGCGUCUCCCGGGACAGGGGGGGCGGCCCCCCCCAGAUGGGUCUGCAUGUGGCCGGCCAGCUGGGCAGGGGUCUUGCAGUGCACGCUGCACAGCUUGCACAGGAUGCGGUCAGCCCGCGGGGCCUGGAGCCCGUGGUCCUUCACCGCGUGGAUGCGCAGGAGCCGAAGAGCAGAACAUGUGGCCACACAGCUGAAACCCUGGCUUCCAACCCUUGGGAACUGGCUCUUGACCACUCCUUCCCCACAGCAGGCUCUAGAUGCCAUGAGCUCUGGACUACAACACCUUUAACCCAUGUCUGUGGAAGGGCCUCUGGCUUUGUCCCCUACCCAUUGUCCCUGGCCCUCCCAGCAUCUUUCAGCAUGUACCUUUGUUGCAGAGCUCACAGACAUGGUGAGGGCCCUGGCUGUGCACCUUCAUGUGGUCCGAAAUAUAAGCCGAGCUCAGCAUCUUGCCACACACAUGA